RNAcentral lists this ribosomal RNA (305 nucleotides) under uncultured bacterium. RNAcentral's name for it is "bacterial SSU rRNA". It matches the Rfam family "Bacterial small subunit ribosomal RNA", at positions 334 to 637 of the family's 1533-position model. The record is from RNAcentral.
UUCGCCUACGGGGCGCAGCAGUGGGGAAUAUUGGGCAAUGGGCGCAAGCCUGACCCAGCAACGCCGCGUGAAGGAAGAAGGCUUUCGGGUUGUAAACUUCUUUUGUCAGGGAGCAAUUGGGUCCACGCGUGGGCUUAGCGAGAGUACCUGAAGAAAAAGCAUCGGCUAACUCCGUGCCAGCAGCCGCGGUAAUACGGAGGAUGCGAGCGUUAUCCGGAUUUAUUGGGUUUAAAGGGUGCGUAGGCGGAAUAUCAAGUCAGCGGUAAAAAUUCGGGGCUCAACCCCGUCGUGCCGUUGAAACUGAU